RNAcentral lists this ribosomal RNA (1355 nucleotides) under uncultured bacterium. Its description in RNAcentral is "bacterial SSU rRNA". It matches the Rfam family "Bacterial small subunit ribosomal RNA", at positions 28 to 1381 of the family's 1533-position model. The record is from RNAcentral.
AUUGAACGCUGGCGGCAGGCUUAACACAUGCAAGUCGAACGAUGACUCUCUAGCUUGCUAGAGAAGAUUAGUGGCGGACGGGUGAGUAACAUUUAGGAAUCUGCCUAGUAGUGGGGGAUAGCUCGGGGAAACUCGAAUUAAUACCGCAUACGACCUACGGGUGAAAGGGGGCGCAAGCUCUUGCUAUUAGAUGAGCCUAAAUCAGAUUAGCUAGUUGGUGGGGUAAAGGCCCACCAAGGCGACGAUCUGUAACUGGUCUGAGAGGAUGAUCAGUCACACCGGAACUGAGACACGGUCCGGACUCCUACGGGAGGCAGCAGUGGGGAAUAUUGGACAAUGGGGGCAACCCUGAUCCAGCCAUGCCGCGUGUGUGAAGAAGGCCUUUUGGUUGUAAAGCACUUUAAGCAGGGAGGAGAGGCUAAUGGUUAAUACCCAUUAGAUUAGACGUUACCUGCAGAAUAAGCACCGGCUAACUCUGUGCCAGCAGCCGCGGUAAUACAGAGGGUGCGAGCGUUAAUCGGAAUUACUGGGCGUAAAGCGAGUGUAGGUGGCUCAUUAAGUCACAUGUGAAAUCCCCGGGCUUAACCUGGGAACUGCAUGUGAUACUGGUGGUGCUAGAAUAUGUGAGAGGGAAGUAGAAUUCCAGGUGUAGCGGUGAAAUGCGUAGAGAUCUGGAGGAAUACCGAUGGCGAAGGCAGCUUCCUGGCAUAAUAUUGACACUGAGAUUCGAAAGCGUGGGUAGCAAACAGGAUUAGAUACCCUGGUAGUCCACGCCGUAAACGAUGUCUACUAGCCGUUGGGGUCCUUGAGACUUUAGUGGCGCAGUUAACGCGAUAAGUAGACCGCCUGGGGAGUACGGCCGCAAGGUUAAAACUCAAAUGAAUUGACGGGGGCCCGCACAAGCGGUGGAGCAUGUGGUUUAAUUCGAUGCAACGCGAAGAACCUUACCUGGUCUUGACAUAGUGAGAAUCUCUCAGAGAUGAGAGAGUGCCUUCGGGAACUCACAUACAGGUGCUGCAUGGCUGUCGUCAGCUCGUGUCGUGAGAUGUUGGGUUAAGUCCCGCAACGAGCGCAACCCUUUUCCUUAUUUGCCAGCGGGUUAAGCCGGGAACUUUAAGGAUACCGCCAGUGACAAACUGGAGGAAGGCGGGGACGACGUCAAGUCAUCAUGGCCCUUACGACCAGGGCUACACACGUGCUACAAUGGUAGGUACAGAGGGUUGCUACACAGCGAUGUGAUGCUAAUCUCAAAAAGCCUAUCGUAGUCCGGAUUGGAGUCUGCAACUCGACUCCAUGAAGUCGGAAUCGCUAGUAAUCGCGGACCAGAAUGCCGCGGUGAAUACGUUCCCGGGCCU